GUUAGGAAUAUUGGACAAUGGGCGCAAGCCUGAUCCAGCCAUGCCGCGUGAACGAUGAAGGCCUUCGGGUUGUAAAGUUCUUUAGCCGAUGAUUAUAAUGACUGUAGUCGGAAAAUAAGCCCCGGCUAACUUCGUGCCAGCAGCCGCGGUAAUACGAAGGGGGCGAGCGUAAUUCGGAAUCACUGGGCGUAAAGCGUGCGUAGGCGGUCUCGUAAGUUAGGAGUGAAAGCCCAGGGCUCAACCUUGGAAUUGCUCUUAAAACUGCAAGGCUAGAAUCUCGGAGAGGAUAGCGGAAUUUCCAGUGUAGCAGUGAAAUGCGUAGAUAUUGGAAGGAACACCAGUGGCGUAAGCGGCUAUCUGGACGAGUAUUGACGCUGAGGCACGAAAGCGUGGGGAUCAAACAGGAUUAGAUACCCCGGUAGUCC
RNAcentral lists this ribosomal RNA (425 nucleotides) under uncultured bacterium. Its description in RNAcentral is "partial 16S ribosomal RNA". It matches the Rfam family "Bacterial small subunit ribosomal RNA", at positions 354 to 796 of the family's 1533-position model. The record is from RNAcentral.